Diceros bicornis minor is the source of this 78-nucleotide small nucleolar RNA. RefSeq annotates it as small nucleolar RNA SNORD115. NCBI's taxonomy places the organism in Eukaryota, Metazoa, Chordata, Mammalia, Perissodactyla, Rhinocerotidae. The record is from RefSeq and is a predicted model, not a curated record. The transcript has a single exon.
GGGUCAAUAAGGAGAACUCACAUGGUCUUGAAGAGAAAUGAUGACCUAAAUAUGCUCUUUAGGUUCAUGCUGAGUCCC